RNAcentral lists this long non-coding RNA (546 nucleotides) under Medicago truncatula (barrel medic). Its description in RNAcentral is "long non-coding RNA (MTRU_LNC008486)". The record is from RNAcentral. Lineage: Eukaryota; Viridiplantae; Streptophyta; Magnoliopsida; Fabales; Fabaceae.
UUAUUUCUCUUUCUCCCCCAAAACUCUCUAAAAUCUCAUAACAAACUCUCAACUCAAUCUUAUUUCUAUUUUCAAAUCUUAAUCUAUUAAAUAACAACAUAAGCCACUUAAUAAAUCACAUAAUCAAAUAAAUAUAUUUUAAACUCUUCUUAAUAAAUUUUAGACUCAAUUAAAUAAUUAAAUAAAUCAAAUAAUUCAAAGAGGGCGUUACAACUCCACCCCCCUUAAAAGAAUUUCGUCCUCGAAAUUCAAAGCACACAAGAAAGGAAUUCAAUUAUUGCCUAAACAUCUUAAACCAAACAUAGCCAAAUAGAAACUUCAAACAAAACAUGUAAGCCACAUCAAAGUUAGUCAAUCAAACAUGAUCACAUAAUAAACAUAACAAUUAGUCAGAAAACACAACAACAAUCAAGACAACAUAAGACAGUAUUUCAACUGUCACACGACUUGACACGACUCAACUACUUGGCCGGACGGACCGACCUGCUCUGAUACCAAUUGUAACACCCCGUUUUCCCAACAUAAAAAUUUCGCAUAAAUAAUCAG